Non-coding RNA from Pelobates cultripes (western spadefoot toad), 415 nucleotides. The record is from the annotation of a GenBank genome assembly. Lineage: Eukaryota; Metazoa; Chordata; Amphibia; Anura; Pelobatidae.
GCACUCUACAUCGCAAAAUUGAAAUCCAUUAAUGCAUUAUGCUGUCACAUCGGCACGGUGUGCAUAAUCACUUAGCAAAUAAUUCCAUGGGGAUUAUUCGCUAAGCCAUGUACUGUCCAGGACCGACAUAUCACCUGACAGUUCUGGGUUUAGUGGGACCAUUUCAGAUCUGGGCUCCAUUCCCAAUCGGUUCCCUAGUGUCCCCAGUAGAAGGACCUGUAGAAAGUGCCUGACCUUCGCAAACUUUAACCAAUGCCCGGAGUGAUUUCAAAGCAUCCUGCACAUGGUCUGCCUGGGUCUGGCACUGCAAAGGCCAUCAGACUUGCGCACAAAUGCGUUUCAGCUAGUACGAACAAAUCCAGUGCAUUUUAAUAUGAUCCAUCCGUCCGGAAUUAACUUGUGGAGGCUUAUUGCG